Molecule: transfer RNA, 64 nt
Filed under: Mammaliicoccus lentus
Lineage: Bacteria; Bacillati; Bacillota; Bacilli; Caryophanales; Staphylococcaceae
Rfam family: tRNA
About the family: Transfer RNA (tRNA) molecules are approximately 80 nucleotides in length.
Source: RNAcentral
GGUAGCUCAGUAGGAUAGAGCAACGGCCUUCUAAGCCGUCGGUCGGGGGUUCGAAUCCCUCUCA